CAGCAACCCCAGCAGACCCUUUUAACACAGGUUAGUUUGGCAUUACUUUAUUUCUUUUGAUUAUCUGAAUAAAGAGUAGACUAAUGUUUUAUUUCUAUUCUAGUUUUUAUUUCAGAGUUUAAAGGUAUUUGUUGUAUUCACAUAAUAAUUUAGCAGUAUAUUGCUAAAUAAAGGUGAAAAUUUGUUAUUGUGUUUUGAUUGCAAGCCCAGCUAUUGUAUAGCUUGAAUAAAUAAGAAUUUUUAUUUUAAGUUUAAUACUGAUUUUUUGCUUUUAUAUUUUCUUUAUAGCUAAAGUUUUGGAAAUUUUUGGAUGUUUCAUUUUUAACUUGACCUUAGUAGGUAAAGUCAUCAUGUUAUCAGUUUGAUUUUUGAGCAACAUUAAAAUGUUUUGGAACUUUUGGGCCUGAUGGUAUAGUUCUGGUAGAGUGCAUGUUUUAGCAUGUGUGAGGCCCUGGAUUUAAUUCAUACCUAGCUCAAAAAAUAAAAAUAAAGUUUUGAAUUUUUAAUAUGUACUGCUACCUUAGGGCUUGUUACAAACCACUUAGUUUCUGUCAUAAUUUUUUUUUCUUACAACCCUUUAAAAGGUGUUAAAAACAUUCCUUGCUUAUUAACUAAGGCAUUGGGCUUUAUUUGGCCAAUGGACCAUGGUUCACUGGUAUUUUUGUACAGUAAAUAUUAAGCAGUUGUUAAAAAUGAAACAGAAUCCCCAUGUUGGGGAUUGAACCCAGGGCCUUGUACAUGCUGUGUAUCCCCUCUUACCACUGAGUUCCACACUCAUCCCUAGAACUUAAUGUAAAAUUAUAUCUCAGAUAUGGGAGGUAGAGGAAAAAGUAUGGUGCAAUAUGCAUUGUAUGUUUCCAUUUACUUAGGAGGGAAGUGGAGGAUAUCAUUUAUCAGUGUGUGCAUUAUCUCCAAAAGGCCCUUGAUAGUAAAAGGUGAUGUGAUUGCUUUAUGCAUAAGAAACUGGGUGGCUGAGGAACAAGGAUAGGAGAGAAGCUUUUCACUGUGUAACUUCUUGUAUCUUUUUAGUCUUUUUUAAAAGUAAAGGAUUAAAAGUAUUUUUUAAAAGAAAAAUGCACUACAUUUAAGAAAUCAAUUAUACUGUUCUUAUUAAAGAACUAAAAUCCAGUAAUACCGAUCUUACUUUCAAUUCCCAACAUGAGAAUUUCAAAAUUAAAUAGAAUAGCUGUAGAAGUUUCUUUCCUUACCAUAACAUCUCCCAGUGUGUGCCCAUAAAGUAUAACUAUCUUAAGAUGUUAAAGAAAUUUUUUGAAGGUUUUUUCCCCCCCACUAUUGGGGAUUGAACCUGGGGGUACUCUGCUAGUGAGCUAUUUUUAUUUCUGAGGAUUGAGCGCCUGAGUGCUUUACCCCUGACUUAAAUUCCCCAGACCUUUUGUUAUUUAUUUAUUUAUUUUUAAACAUCAAAUUGUAUACUUUAUUUUUAUGUGGUGCAGAGGAUCAAACCCAGUGCCUCACACAUGCCAGGCUAGUGCUCUGCUACUGAGCUAUAAUACCAGUCCCUUUUAUUUUUAUUUUGAGACAGGGUCUCACUAAGUUGCUUUUGGCUUCCCUGGGUUGCUGAGGUUGGCUUGAACUUGUGAUCUUCCUGCCUUAAGCUCUCAAAUUGCUGGGAUUAUAGGCAUGCACCACCAUACCUUCCUUUUUAUUUUGAAACAGGGAUUUGAUAGACUGUCCACAAUAGUUGUGAACUUGUGAUCUUCCUGCCUCAACUUCCCGAAUACUGGUGCACCACCAGACAUAGUGUUUUUUUGUUGUUGUUGUUGUUUUUUGAAGUGGUGUCUUUGCCAUGUUGCCCAGUUUCAUAUAAAACUUAUGGAUACAAGUAUUCCUCCUGCCUCAGUCUCCAAGUAGCUUGGACUACAGGAAGAAAUUUAUUUAUUUUUGGUACUGGUGAUUAAACCCAGGCACAUAACCAUUGAGCCACAUUCCAAGCCCUUUUUGUUUUUUAUUUUGAGACAGGGUCUCACUAAGUUGCUGAGGCUGGGCUCAAACUUGCCUAAGUUGAUGAAAUACUGAGUUCUUUGACUAUAUUUUGGAGUUUCCUAAACCUUUAGUGUGCUGAUAAGGAUUUUGAUUUUUUUGUUUGUUUUUUGGAGGCGGGGUGCUGGAAUUGAAUCCAGGGGUACUUCACUACUAAGCUACAUUUUCAGUUUUUUUAUUUUGAAAAAUGCUCUAAGUUGCUGAGGCUGGCUUCUUAACUUGUGAUCCUCCUGCCUCAGCAUCCCAAAUAGUAAGGAUUAUACAGGCAUCUGACAUUACACCCAGCUUUUUUGUUUGUUUUUUUGGUGGUGGUACUGGUGCUUGAACUCAGGUUCUUGCAUAGACUAGGCAAGUUCUCUUGCACUGAGCUACAUCCCCAGUCUUUUCUGGACUUUGAAUUUCUAAGAGGGAGUUAAAAUAGUAUUUUUACAACUCAUUGAACGAUGAUUCUUUUGCCUUGGAGCAACCCUGAAAAUACUCAUUUGAGGAAAGUUAUGGAUGAAAUAAGUUAAAUAAUUUUAUAGAUUUUCAGACUUAGUUCUCUCAAGGUGUACAUACAUAUAUUUUAUAACUUCAUAUAAUUUUUAACAUUUUGGGCUAAAAUUGUCAUUUUUAAUUUCCAGGUAAUUUCAAGUCAUUAUCUUAAUAUGAUGUUGAUUUUCUUCAAUAGCCGGCUGUUGCGCUGCCUACAAGCCUUAGCCUGUCUACUCCUCAGCCUGCAGCACAGAUAACUGUAUCUUAUCCAACACCACGGUCCAGUCAGCAACAAACCCAACCUCAGAAACAACGUGUUUUCACAGGAGUGGUUACAAAGCUACACGAUACAUUUGGAUUUGUGGAUGAAGAUGUAUUCUUUCAGCUUAGGUAAACUUCAUUAGGUGUUGAGAUGACUUAUUGAAUUCUGUAUAAAGUACUUGUGAUAAAGAUAAGCUAAAAUUUUCUGUUUUAAUCAUUCAGUUUGUAUUAUGGUCCUAUCUGUGAUGUGUUUGGGUGGAAAAAUGUGGUUAAGUAUAUGUUUUGAUUAUUGAACAUCAACUAAUUGUGAAUUCUUUUUUUUUUUUUUAGUUGUAGAUGGACACAAUACCUCUAUUUAUUUAUUUAUUUUUUAAUGUGGUACUGGGGAUCAAACCCAGUGCCUCACACAUGCUAGGCAUGCUCUGUACCACUGAGCCACAACCCCGGCUCUAAUUGUGAAUUCUUUAUAAAUAUUUUCUUAGAACUAGGUGGCAUUUCUAACUCUUCAUGGGCAGACUUUGAGAUUGGGGGUUGAUUAAUUAUGACUUUUAAAUCCUAAUAUUCUGGUUUGACAUAUCUGAUGAUAUAGACUAAGAAUUUUUUUUUUUAAUUGAAAAGUUAGUGAACAGGAUCAAAUGGUUGAUGGACAAACAUUCACAAUAGUACUUUGGUUCCUUUAUGGUAGUUGUAGGCAAUAUGAAUUUUCUUAGAUAUAUCAAGAAUAUUUCUAAUGAACUUCCUUAGAAUGGUCACAUUUGGGACUCAGUUGCUGUAGAAGAUUUUUGUAUAAAAGGGAUUCCCAUUUUUUUGUCGUCUUUCCAAAACCUGAAGCAAAUUUUACCUUUGGGCUCUAAAAGUUAGUGCCAUAAGCAGAAGGACAUAACUUAGGAGAUUAUGAGGUGGUAAAUUAUUUCUUGCACUUCAAAACUUCUGUUUAUAUAUAGAGGGUGAAACGUUCAGUUCUGAAAUGAGUCUACAGAUAUAUCUACUUUUGUAAGAGCUCUCCAGUCUUCCAUUUCUGGUAUAGUGUGUUUAUUUAUUUAUUUAUUUAUUUAUUUUUAGUUAUAGAUGGACAAAAUACCUUCUUUUAUAUUUAUGUGGUGCUGAGGAUCAAACCUGGUGCCUCAAUUGUGCUAGGCAAAUGCUCUACCACUGAGCUACAACCCAGCCAUAUAGUGUAUUUUGUGUGUGUGAGAGAGUGUGUGUGUGUGUGUUUGUCUGUGUGUGGCUGGGGAUUGAACCCAGGGCCUUUUGCAUGUGAGGCAAGCACUCUACCAACUGAGCUAUAUCCCCAGCCCCUUAAAGUGUAGUUUUAAAUGCUAAGUGUGUAAAUUUGAGGGUGGGGCGAUGUCUUUUUUUUUCCCCCCAAAUAUUUUUUAGCUGUUGAUGUACCUUUAUAUUAUUUAUUUGUAUGUGGUGUUGAGAAUCUAACCCAGCGCCUCACACAUAUAAGGCAAGCACACUGCCACUGAGCCACGACCCCAGCCCCUUGGGGGGCGAUCUCUUAAUUGUGUUUAUUUUUUUUCCCCCAGUGCCGUCAAAGGGAAAACUCCACAAGUGGGUGAUAGAGUAUUGGUUGAAGCUACUUAUAAUCCUAAUAUGCCUUUUAAAUGGAAUGCACAAAGAAUUCAAACACUACCAAAUCAGGUACAUAAAAUAUUGAACUAAUUAUCAUGGAAAUUUGGUAAUUGAGUCUUCCAUUUGACAAAAAACAUUUUAUCUCUUUUGUUUUUAUUAAGAAUCAGUCCCAAACCCAACCUUUACUGAAGACUCCUCCUGCUGUACUUCAGCCAAUUGCACCACAGACGGCAUUUGGUGUUCAGGCUCAGCCCCAGCCUCAGUCACUACUGCAGGCACAGAUUUCUGCCGCUUCUAUUACACCACUACUGCAGACUCAGCCACAGCCUUUAUUACAGCAGCCACAGCAAAAAGGUAUUGCGUGCAUGUAUUCUUGUUUUUAAUUUCAGACUAAUGUGUGUUAUGAUUUAUUUGUUCAAAUAUAAAGAACAUGCUUUUAAUUAUAAAAUAGGCAGGGACAUCCAGGAGGUUGAAAAAGAAGGAUCUUUUGAGCAAGUGAGUAUAUGACCAGACUGAGCAAUAUAGUGAGACCCUAUCUCAAAAUGUCUGACAGGGACUUUGAGGAAACUUGAAAGGAAGCAUAAAUAUCCUGAACAAAACAUCCUGUAAUUCUCUACUUAUAUGGAAGUAGUUUUGUUUUAUUUCUUGUAGUGAUAACAAAUUCAGUGAAUAGGAAAUUCAAAGAUAUGUUUCUUGUGUACUUAAAUAUCAGAACUGUUAUCCCUUGUGCCCCCUUUUGGUAUCACAUACCAACAAUAUUUUAUUUAUACAUGUGAAUCUUUUCUUUUUAAUUAAUUAAUUUUUAUUCAUUUUAUUGAUUUAUUUUGGUACCAGGUAUCGAACCCAGGGGUGCUUAACAACUGAGACACAUUAUCAGCUCUCCCCCCCAAUACAUGGAGUAUAACUUAUUCUAAUUAGGAUUUUAUUCUUGUGGUUGUACAUGAUGUGGAGUUACCCUUGUCUGGUAGGAAAGGAAAGUUAUGUCUGAAUAAUUCUAUUGUUUUUUUCUUUUCCCUCUCCCCUCCCUUCCCUUCAUUCCCCUUUGUUUAAUCCAAUGAACGUCUAUUCUUCCCCUCCUAUCCUUGCUUGUGGAUUAACAUACACAUAUCAGAAAAUUUAGCCUUUGGUUUUUUGGGACUGGCUUAUUUCACUUAGCACUGAUAUUUUCCAGUUCCAUUCAUUUACUAGCAAAUGCCAUGAUUUCAUUCUUUAUGUCUGAAUAAUAUUUCAUUGUGUAUAUAUACCACAUUUUCUUUAUUCAUUCAUCUGUUAAAGGACACUUAGGUUAGUUCCAUGGUUUAGUUAUUGUGAGUUGAGCUGCUAUAAAACAUUGAUGUGGCUGCAUCAUCUAGUAUGCUGAUUUUUACGUUCUUUGGGUAUAAAUCAGGGAGUGGGAUAACUGGAUUAAAUGGUGGUUCCAUUUCAUGUUUUCUGAGGAAUCUCCAUACUGCUUUCCAUAAUGGUUGCACCAAUUUGAAAUCCUCCUGUACAUGUGAACUGGUGUUAGUAAUUCUGUUAUGUUAUUGGGGAUCAAACCCAGGGGUGCUCUACAACUGAGCUACAUGCCCCAGCCCUUUUUAUUUUAUUUUUGGUAGUGGGGAUUGAACCUAGGAACACUCUUCCACUGAGCUACAUUCCUAGCACCCCUCUUUUUUUAAUAUUUUUUUAAAAUAAGGGAAUGUUUUUAUACCUUGUUUUUAUUUAUUUGUUUUUAUGUGGUGCUAAGAAUUGAACCCAGUGCUUCACACAUUCUAGGCAAGCACUCUACCACUGAGCUACAACCUCAGCCCCUUUCCAGCCCUUUUUAUUUUUUGAGACAGUGUCUCACUAAGUUGCUUAGUGCCCUCACUAAAUUGCUGAGGCUAAAAGCCUUGAACUUAACUAUUCUGCCUCAGCCUUCCAAGUUUCUGGGAUAGUAGGUGUAAUGGUGGCUACAUCCAACCCUUGUUUAUUUUUUGAGACAGAGUCUUGCUAAGUUGUUCAGGUAAGUUGUUUGGGUUUGCCUCUAACUGUUUCAGCUUCACGACUUGCUGUAUAUACAAUUGUGUGCCACUGUGCCUGGGAUUAUACAGUGUUUAAAAUGGCAGUUAGCCUGCUGCAUGCCGUGAUACAUACGUGGAACCCCAGCAAUUUGGGAUGCUGAGGCAGUAGGAUAAAGGUUGGAGGCCAGGGGCUGGGGUUUUGGCUUAGUGGUGGAGUGCUCGCCUAGCAUGUGCAGGGUCUUGGGUUCGAUCCUCCGUACCACAUUAAGAUAGAGGUAUUGUGUCCAACUACAACUAAAAAAUAAAUAUUAAAAAAAAAAAAAAAAGUUGGAAGCCAACCUGGACCUGUUUCAAAACAAAAAAUAGAAAAGAUCUGGUUAUGUAACUCAGUGGUAGAGUAUCCCUAGGUUCAAUCAUUUUUAUUUAUUCAUUUUUUAAUAAUUUUAGUUGUAAAUGGACAUAAUAACUUUAUUUUUUUAUUUUUAUAGAUAUAAUUUGGCAUUUUCUCUUUCAUUGUAUGUUAUUAUACUAGAGCAAAGUGAUAAAACGUAUAACUCCAUGGUAUAGCUAUAGCAAAAUGAUAAAACCAGGUUACAGCAUAAUGGAUUAUUAAUUUUAAAUGAACACCUGAUUGUUCACUACUCAGGUCAAAAAAUACACAUUGCAUGCUGGGGAUAUAGCUCAAUUGGUAGAGUGCUUGCCUAACAGGCGUGAGGCCUUGGGUUCAAUCCCCAGCACUACCACCACCAACAACAAAAAACACAUUGCUAAUACUUGUGUAUAGUGCUAGGGAUCAAACCCAGUGCUGUGUUUCAUAACUGGCAAGCACUCUACCAGUGAACUACAUCCCUCAACACCCAUCUGCCUCCUUUUUUCUCAAAAUAUAUAUCCUGAAUACAAUUUACUUUGUCUGCUUUUGAACUUAAUAUGAGAUUCCACUUAUAUUCUAGCUUGUGUAAGGUUUUUUACACCAUUAUGUUAAAGUUUUUCCUUCUAUUUAUUUCAUGUGGGUAUAGUUUGUUCAUUUUCAUUGUGCAUUUCCAUUGUAUGAAUAUUGUACAAUUAUCUGUUCUCCUUUAGUAAUCAUUUGGUUAUUUCUUGUUUUGGUUUCUGUAAACAUUCUCGUGUGUUCACAGACAAUGUGUGUGACUUUUUCUAGGGUAUGUAUCUUUGAAUGGAAUUGUUGGGUGUGAGGAGUACAUAUAUCUUCUUAGAUAAUACCAAACUCUGUCCAAACUACUUGUUUCCUCCAAGUAUCUGACAGUUCUCUGAUCUCUGAUUUUUUUUCCUCAUAGUUUUCUUAAAAUAUCUUAUUUUACAAUUGUGAAUUGGGAUUUGAGUACCUAUUUGUUUGUUUUGAUACUAGGUUUUCAAACCUGGAUCUCACAUACUUAGCACUCUACCGCUGAGCUACAGUCCUUGCCCUAAGACAGGACCAGUUCUACAACAAAAUGUAUAAAUUAUGAUAACUGUGAAUGAACAAUUUUAUUCCCAAUUGUUAGACUAAUUUCAUCUAAUCUCAUAAUACUUUUGUACUUUCUUUAAAUGUGUUAGUUUAAUUUUAUUUUUUUCUGUAUUUUUUUUUUGAAGCUGGCUUAUUGCAGCCCCCUGUUCGUAUAGUUUCACAACCACAACCAGCACGAAGAUUAGAUCCACCAUCUAGAUUUUCAGGAAGGAAUGACAGAGGAGAUCAAGUGCCUAAUAGGAAAGAAGACCGAAGGUAUGUUUUAAGAAUAUAAUAUAGAUGGUGGUGGUGAUUAUUCAAAAUGUGAAUGCAUUUAAUGCCACUGAACUGUGCAGAUAAAACUGGUUAAUGUGAUAAACUUCGUGUCACAUACAUAUAACAUUUUUGGGGGGGUGGGUACCGGGGAUUGAACCCAGGGGUGCUUAAUCACUGAACCACAUCCAAAGCCCUUUUAUUUUUUGCUUUGAGACAGGGUCUUAAGGCCUUGAUAAAUUGCCCAGCAACAUAACAUUUAAAAAAUACAUUUUUGAAGAGUUAAAAAUGUGUUGUUUUUAUAACCUAUUACAUUAUUUCUUUAAAAAACUGCCAUUAUGCCAAAAAUAUUAGUAAUAAUUUUAUAUAAAUUUACUUUAAGUCGUGAAAGGGAAAGAGAAAGACGUAGAUCCAGAGAAAGAUCACCUCAAAGGAAACGUUCCAGGGAGAGGUCUCCCAGAAGAGAGAGAGAAAGAUCGCCUCGGAGAGUUCGGCGUGUUGUUCCACGUUACACAGUGCAGUUUUCAAAGUUUUCUUUAGAUUGGUAAGUUCUUUUUUUCUCUUUCAGUUAUUAACUUUGUAAUUUUGUAUAGAUUAGUGUGGAAUGUGUUAUAAUCAGGAUAUUUUACCUGAGAAAAUCAUGUGCUGACAUUUAGUGCUCUUAUAAGGAUAGAAAUGCAAUUUGAAGUAGUCAUUUAUUUCUCUGCUAAAGUGUAUUAUUUAUAGUACUCAUAACUUUAAAGUUAUCAACUAUUCAAAAAGAAAACCUCUAAAGGAAAUUCUGUUGUGAUGAAAUCAUUGCUUAACAUUAGAGUUAUUUAAGAUCCACAUUUAUUGAUGAAGAUCCACAUUAUAUGUGAUGAAGCAAUAACAAGUAAACCAAUUGUUUCAAGCUUACUUGUGAUAAUAUAGUAUAAAGUAUGAAUUGGAUCUGCGUAUGUUCUGAGACCUAUAUAAUAUACAUGUGUUUGUGUCCAUAAAUAAAUUAUUGAGCUUUUGGAAUCAGAGGUUGAGGCAAGUUACCAAGAAUUUCUCAGUUUUAGCUAUAAAAUCCAUUAGCUUGCAGAAUUAUUGUUUGGUUCAGUAUCUAGAGCACCCAGAGUGUGGCAAUUUUAGAUUUUCCUUAAUUGAUAAUAGUAGUGAGUUAUGAUGGCAACUAGGGUUACUAGAUUUAACAGAUGGAAAAAGCAAAUGGACAGUAAAAUAAGAAAAUCUUUAAAAGCAGUGUCAGAACUGUUUGGCAUAGGUGCAAAUAAUGUGUGUACUUGAAUGACCUGAGAAGAUAUAAUUUUUAAUAUUUAUUAUGUUGGCCUGUCAAAAGUUGAAAUUUCUGCAUAUUCAAUUCUAGAUCUGAUAAACAGUGUGAUUUAGUGUACUGAAUACCAAGAAAUUCUUAACUGGUGACUUUGCUUGUUUAUAUUACUUCAUUGUUUAUUUACUCUUAACUUUGGCCAGAUUAGCAAGUACUCUUAAUUUAUACUAGUUUUGUUAUUAUCCUUUUUUACUAUUAGGCUUAAAAAAAUCUGUUGGUACCAAAACUACUUCAUUCCCCAAGGUACUAAAUAGAGGAGCUCUAAUUUUUAUGCAUCUUUCCCAGUAUUAAACACUAUAUAGGAAGAGUUGGUCAGAUACAUAAUUGAGGCGGGCGCCAUGGCUCACACCCAUAAAUCCUAGCAGGUUGGGAGGCUGAGGCAGGAGAAUUGUGAGUUCAAAGCCAGCCUCAGCAACUUAGUGAGGCCCUGUCUAUAAAUAAAAUAUAAAAAAGGGCUGGGGAUGCGCCCUGCUAUCAAAAUAAAUAAGGAUAUGAAAUAGAACAGCUCCUACUAAGAUCACUUUCACAGUUUCACUUUUACUGCUAACAAUAUCAAUCAAACCCAUUACAAAUAAACAUCAUUUUAAAGUUUCCAUGUCUCCUUAAUCUGUAGUUCUGGAAAUCAAAUUUUUUAUACUAAUAUAAUUAUGAGCACUUAUUUGCAAUUAAUGCUUUAUGUGGACUUAUGUCUGUUUUAUCAUAGAUUUUAUUCCUAUGGGGUAAAACUUCUAAAAUUCUGGUACUGAGAAACUAUUACAUAUACUUUGUUCCUUAAAAAUAAAACUCAAAUAUAUUUUGCACACUUUUGAUACAAUCUUUAUUUAUUUUUUAGUUUUAGGUCGAUACAAUAUCUUUAUUUUAUUUUUAUGUGGUACUGAGGAUCGAACCCAGUUCUUCAUGCAUGCUAGGCAAAGUACUCUACCUCUGAGCCACAACCCCAACCCCUUGACAGAAGCUUAACCAGAUAAAGUAUAAUUAUAUCAGCAGCCACAAUAGAAAAUUAUCACAAAGUAAAAUAAAAAUAAAAUAAAAUAUUAUUUUAUUUUGUGAUGCUGGGAUUAAACCAGGGCUUUGUAUAUGCUAGGCAAUUAGUCUGUUUCUAAGCUAUAUACCCAAUGUAUCUCUAUUUUUUGUUUUUAGGUGUCUGAUAAAGACAUCUCUACAUAGAGAUUAGUUGUUUUUUUUUUUUUUCUCCUUCCUUUCUUCCUGUACUAGGGAUUGAACCCAGGGGCACUUUACCUGUGAAGUAUAUCCCCUGACCUUUUUAUUUUUAUUUUGAGAUGGGGGUCUCGUUAAGUUGCAGAAUCUGUCCUUGAACUGCCCAUCUUCCUGUCGCAGUCUCUUAAGUUGCUGGCUUACAUAUGUGCUCCAACAUGUCCAGCAGAAUUCAUGUAUGUGUUUCAUUUUUUGUGUGUCUGUGUGUGUGGUAAUGGGGGUUGAACCCAAUGGUACUCUAGUGAGCUACAUCUCCAAAUCACCAGCCAUUUUUUUUGUUUUGUUUUGAGACGGUCUCACAAAAGUGCACUCUUUCUGUCAUAGCCUGGUGAGUUUCUAGAAUUGGACCACCUCACCUGCUCAUUAUGCUUUUUUUUGUUUUUGUUUUUUUUUAGUUGGGCACAAUACCUUUAUUUUAUUUAUUUUUAUGUGCUGCUAAACCUAGUACCUCACAUAUUCUUGGCAAGUGCUGUACCCCUGAGAUAUAACUCUGACCCUCAAUUAUGCUUUUUAAAAAUUUUUUUUUAUAGUUGUAGAUGAAUACAACAUCUUUAUUUACCUUUAUGUGGUGCUGAGGAUAGAACCCAGGGUCUCACACAUGCUAAGCAAGUACUCUACCACUGAGCUACAAUCCCAGCCCAUCAGUUAUGCCCUUUUGUUCAAUUGUUUAUCUUUGAGUUUCUCGCCUUUAAAAUCUGGUUUUUAGGGGCUGGGGAUGUGGCUCAAGCGGUAGCGCACUCACCUGGUAUGUAUGCGGCCCGGGUUCGAUCCUCAGCACCACAUGCACCGCCAAAAACUUAAAAAAAAAAAAAUUGCUUUUUGGGGAAAAGGAAACUAAUUUUUUAAAAAAUUUUUAUUAGUUAUUGAUGGACCUUUAUUUAUUUUUUGUUUAUAUGUGGUGCUGAUAAUCGAACCCAGUGCCUCACACAUGCUAGGCAAGCACUCUACCACUGAGCCACAACCCCAGCCUCAGGAAACUAAUCUUUAAAAUAUCAGUGCCAGAUUUAAAAGGCAAGAGUUCUAUUUCCGUUUUACAUAAUAAUAAUAAUUAGGUAUUGAUUUACUUAAAUUCUUAUAGAGAAGUAUAGAGGUGUAGAUAAUAUAAAGAACACUUUAUAUAUAUUUUUUUCAUUUAUAUAUUUUUUUUCAUUUGUAUUUUAGUAUUUGAUUUUUAAUUUAAGUGUAAUGAUCUACAAGCUUAAUCUAGAAUAGAACUUGAAUUUUUUCUUUGCUGAAUAAGUCUGAUUAAGGGGUAUUUGAGUACUAAUUUGGUAUUACUCUUGUCCCUUCUUUGUAUGUAUUUUGUGGGAAUUAUGAUUUUUCUCAAGUAAUAUACAUUUUAAACUAAGUCAAAACUACUUUUGUUUCAGUCUUCUCUAGAGCUGUGGGUUUUCUUUAUUUCAAAGUGUCUUCUCUAAUGAAUUAUAAGCUACAUACAAAAAGUAGAGAAAUAAAGGUAACACUUAGAUACUGAUAAUUCAAAACUGCAACUAUAUACAAAUUUGUAAAAUAAAAUUUUCACAUGUCUCCAUCUGAAUUUGUACUUCAUUUAAUUGACUAUUUUCAACUUGCUUUUUACUCUGUAAGGUUAUUUAGCUUCAGAAUUAUGUGAAUGUAUAAUCUUUGGUGUAAGGCUGCUUAUUCACUACUUAUGUCUGUUUUUCAGUCCUAGUUGUGACAUGAUGGAACUAAGGCGCCGUUAUCAGAAUUUAUAUAUACCUAGUGACUUUUUUGAUGCUCAGUUUACAUGGGUGGAUGCUUUCCCUUUGUCAAGACCAUUUCAGCUUGGAAAUUACUGCAAUUUCUAUGUUAUGCACAGAGAAGUAGAGUCAUUAGAAAAAAAUAUGGCCAUUCUUGAUCCUCCAGAUGCUGACCAUUUAUACAGUGCAAAGGUUUGUAUUUGUGAUUUACAGCUUAAUUUCUUCGUAGUUGUUCAAAAAUAAGAGGAUAUGUGGAACCAUUCUUUUUUUGGGAGGGGAUAUGGGGGAUUGAACUCAGGGGCACUUGACCACUGAACCACAUCCCCUUAAGUAAUUUAACCUCUUUGUGCAUCACUUAUUAUGCAAUAAAAUAAUGGUUGUUUUAACAUUUUAAUCCUUAUAAAAAUGUGAAGAUGAAGUUGAAAGUUGAAUGUUAUGACUUUUUUGUUUGUUUGUUUUUUUAAUAUUUAUUUUUUAGUUUUCGGCAGACACAACAUCUUUAUUUGUAUGUGGUGCUGAGGAUUGAACCCAGGCCGCACGCAUGCCAGGCGAGCGCGCUACCACUUGAGCCACAUCCCCAGCCCUGUUUGUUUGUUUUUGUACUGGGGAUUUAACCCAGGGACACUUUACCACUGAGCUAUAUCCCCAACCCGUUUUAUUUUUUAUGACUUUUGGCCCCAGAUAAAAUUUAAUAUUGGUUGAAUGUACUGAAUUUUUGUCUUUAGGAUAACAUUCAGAAUAUGGCUUAUCAGAGUUAGUUUUCUUCUGGUUUAAAACAUUGUUUGAUCUAAAAAGCAUCCCUUAAAUCUCGAGUGGUGGCAGGCAGACAUUCAUAGUCAGGUAAUACAGUUUGUUGAGUCAAGUUGGCAGUUGUGAAGGACUCAAUUUGGUUUGUUAAGAGAUGCCCCAAGCUGGGAGUGGUGGCUCACGCCUGUUAUUCCAGCAGCUCAGGAGACUAGGCAGGAGGAUCUCAAGUUCAAAGCCAGCUUCAGCAAUUUAGCAAGGUCCUAUCUCUAAUGAAAUAUAAAAAGGGGUUGGGGAUGUGGUUCAGUGGUUAAGUGCCCCUAGGUUCAAUUCCUGGUACCAAAAAAAAAAAAAAAAGCUCAAACCUGAUAGAAAAGAAUUCCAGAAUAUUUCUAUAUGACAAUAGCAAUAGAUUUUGCUAUAAUGGGAUUUAGAAUGUCUUUGGAUGCUGUUAAAGUUCUUUUGAAAUUAACCUACCAUCCCUAUUAAUAACAUCAUUGUGGGUGGCUUAAUACUUUUUGUCGAAGGGUUUGAGAACCUCAUGAAGUAAAAUUUUGUUCCCUUUUCUUCCAAAAUAUUUUCUAUUUGUAAAUUAAAAUAAUUUCAGAAAUUUAAAAAAAUCUUCCCUUGAUAAGUUAAAACUUUAUAAGGUAUUUAAUAUUUUAACUUAUUUCUGUAACAUUUUGCAUUCAUUUUUAUGAGAAAUUUCAAAUAACUAAAAUGUGAGUUUAAGUAGUAGUGCUUCUCAUUUUUUUUUACAUUACAUUAGACUUUUGACAGGAUUGAAUUAUUUGACUAUAAUAGGUAAUGCUGAUGGCUAGUCCUAGUAUGGAAGAUUUGUAUCAUAAGUCUUGUGCUCUUGCUGAAGACCCACAAGAACUUCGAGAUGGAUUUCAACAUCCUGCUAGACUUGUUAAGGUAAAAUAAACUAUUUGUUUUAUCUUUAGGUGUAUAUUCAUUUACCUUAGUGCUUACUGUGUAUAUGUGAAAUUUAAAAACAGCAUAUUUUUAAUCUUGUUACUAAAUGAUUUUAGUAUUAUUAAGGUACUCACAAUUUAAUAAUACAGAUGUCUUUCUCACUGCAGAUUGUGGCUAUACUUUAUUUGUGUAUAACGACUUCAACUGUCAUUGAUUUGUUGUAUUUGUAGCAUAUUAAAAUCUUAGUGAUAAUGGGAUUUAGAAUGUCUUUGGAUGCGUUAAAGUUUGCAUUAUAGCUUGUUUCUUUAAAAGAAUGGUAACUGAAGAAAUAUUAUAGAAGGAUGAGUUAUGAUGUGUAAAUCCUAUUCCAUUGCUGAAAUGCAGUGUGGAACACGAUGAACUGAACUCUUCCUUGACUGACAGAUAUCUGAGGUAGUAAAAAUGAUAUUGGAAAGGUUUGUACCUUUCCUUUUCAAGUAUUUAUUUGUAAUUUCACAAGUUAUAUAAUGUAUGUAAGUGAUUCUUUGUUUUGAAUUAGUUUUUAGUGGGCAUGAAAGGCAAGGAUGAAGCCAUGGCCAUUGGUGGGCACUGGUCUCCUUCGUUGGAUGGACCAGACCCUGAAAAAGAUCCCUCCGUGUUGAUUAAGACUGCUAUUCGUUGUUGUAAGGCUCUGACAGGCAUUGAUCUAAGUGUUUGCACACAAUGGUAAGUAUCAAUUCAUUUCUUGAUUAGAAAUAUUUAAUAGAUUUGUAGAUGUUCUUAUCGAUCAGCCUUUUCCCCUUAUUUUAGCAACACUUGUCAUGCAGGUAAUCUCAAAGGAAAAAUCCCCAUUUGUAGCAAAAGUUUAUUUGGUGCCAAAAAUGUUUUUUGGAAAAAGGAUUAAGAACUAAUCAAAAUAUACUGAAAAUUUAAAUGUUUUGUUAUGCUGUACUUUGGAAGUUUGGUUGUAUGUUGAAAAUACUUUUCAUUUCAUGUAUAGCUGGAGAAGAUCGUCAAGAGAGAACUUCAUUUCAUUAUAAUUCUUUUGUUAUUAAAUGAUGUAGUUGCUGAUUAUUUUUGUUCAGCCAUAUUUUCUCUUGAGGCUUAUUUGUCCUAUGUAUUUUAGUAUAUUUCUUGUGACUUAAUUGAGAAUAUUCUUUUUUAGCACAUGAAAUCUGAACAGCUAUCCAGCUUCUUCAGGUAUUAUCUAAAAUAUGGGUAGCUUUGUAAUCAAACUUGAAAAUGUGUUGUGGGAACUUAUUCUUUUAUUCAAUAAAAUAUUGUACAAAUGUACCAAAAGAGGAACUAUGGCUUCUAUAAUUUUUUUUUCUUUAGACCAACCUCAAGUUCUUGCAGCAAAAUUUCUUUACUUGAUGUGCUACAAGUGAACUAGGGUCUUUAAAAUGUAUUUUAGAAUUUUUUUUCCAACAUGCUUCUUCCCUUGCAACAGGUACCGUUUUGCAGAGAUUCGCUACCAUCGCCCUGAGGAGACCCACAAGGGGCGUACAGUUCCAGCUCAUGUGGAGACAGUGGUUUUAUUUUUCCCGGAUGUUUGGCAUUGCCUUCCCACCCGCUCAGAGUGGGAAACCCUCUCCCGAGGAUACAAGCAGCAGCUGGUCGAGAAGCUUCAGGGUGAACGCAAGGAGGCUGAUGGAGAACAGGCACUGAACGCUAAUCCCUUUUUCUAUUUCCGCUUCUCACAGGCACAGGAACACAGGCACAAAUGCACACCACACACUACAUAACAAACACACAUGGAGGAACAUAAGUGGUAACAGCGACUGGUAAUCCAGCUUUCAGCAGUAUAGUUGAAUGUUCUUUUCUCUUAAAAAUUCUGUCUAUUAUGCUAACGUUGAGAGUGUUGAGACCUCAAAGGAAAAUAAGUUGUGCUUAAAUUGCACAGAAUUUUGUUUCUAUCAUAGAUCUAGUUGCUGGAAUCUGGGACCAGUUGUUGAGCAAGAUUAAGUAUUAAGCCAUUUUAAACAUUUUGCCAUUUUCUAAAAUUUAAAAGAUUUUCUCUUUCAUGGUCAUCAGUUCUAGUCAUGGAUAUUUGAAAUUGGACAACCACAAGUCUGAGAGAUUUGAAAUUUCAGGCUAUGUGGCAACGUCUUUGGUACAUUUCAAAGGUCUGACUAAAUCAGUCUUUGGGUGGCUUGAAAAUUGGGGCAAGAUCACACACUGUGUGGUUAGUGGAGACCGGCAGUGUUUGUGCAUCCCUGAUAUCCUUUGUGUUGUAAUUUAUCACCCUUUUGUGUUUCACAGAUCUGGCUUUGAUUGGCUGAUGAGUGUCUUUGUGAUCAGUUAAAAAUGAUAGAAUGUAUGUACGUGGACUUGCCUAAAUAAUAACUUUAGGAGAAGACAAUCUGAAACAUUUGUGACCUUGCACAGAUCAGCAACAGACUUUUAAAAGUGAAUUAAAUUUAUUUUAAGGUUUCAAAAUAGUAAUUAUGUUCUUAACUUUGUAUAUUAGGAUGAAGAAGAAAAGGAUGAUGGUGAAGCUAAAGAAAUUUCCACUCCUACCCAUUGGUCUAAACUUGAUCCAAAGACAAUGAAGGUAACUUUGAAAAUUAUGGUUUUUAAUUUGAAAUCUCUUUAACAGGAAUACAUAACAUUGGUGAGAAUGAUGGUAGUAUGUUUUUCAAAUAAAAACCAUUCAAAAUGAAGUCUGUCUUGGCACCAUUUGGAAUCCCAGGUUCUUUGGAGGCUGAGGCAAAUUUGAGGCCAGCCCAGGUAAUUUAGCAAGACCCUUCCUCAAAUAAAUAACAAGGGCUGGAGAUUUAGCUCAGUGGGGUAAAGUCCACUUUUUUUUUUUUGGAGUUUGUCCCAGGCCCUUGUGUGCUAUACAACCACUGUACCUCUGAGCUACAUCCCCAGCCCUUUUUAUUUUAUUCUGAGACAGGAUCAUGCUACAUUGUCCAGCCUGGCCUCGAACUUGUGAUCCUCCUGCCUCACCCUGCGCCAUCAGGUCUGGCUGUUCACUGAUUUUAUAUAACUAUAAUAUAUUGCAUUUACCUGUGAAUAUAUACAUACAUGUAUAAAUUAAAAAGUGAUGUUAAAUAUCAGUCUAGCUAGUACCUGUAAAAUGCUUGCAAUUUCAAAGUACCUGUAAUAUCAGGAAUAUUGUUUUCUGGUUCAGUAAUUGACCAAGAAGGCAGAAUUUAUCACUGGGCACAGUGGCACAUGGCCUGUGUAAUCCCUGUGGCUUGGUAGGCUGAGGUAGGAGGAGCACAAAUUCAAAGCCAGCCUAAGCAACUUAGUGAGACCCUGUCUCAAAAUAAAAUAUAAAAAGGGUUAGAGAUGUGGUUCAGUGGUUAAGUACCUCUGGAUUCAAACCCUGGUACCAAAAAAAAAAAAAAAAAGGAGGUGGGAGGCGCCAGAAUUCUUACACUUAUGGGGCUGGAGUUGUGACUCAGUGGUAAAGCACUUGCCUUGCAUGUGUGAAGCACUGGGUUCAAUGUUUAACACCACAUAAAAAGAAAUAAACAAAAUAAAGGUAUUGUAUCCAUCUACAACUAAAAAAUAAAAAUUUAAAAAAGAAUAUUAAAAGAAAUAAUUUCUAAACUUACGUAACUUAAAUUCAGGGGUCAGAAAAGAAACAGGAAAAAGAUGAACUUGUUUUAAAAAUAAAUUUAAGAGUAAAAUGUAGAAUGUAUGCCUCUAAACUGGGAAGGAAAUAAUUUAAUAAUUUCUUUGAAAAUAAGUGGUUAACCUGCGUUAGUUUUUUCUUCUGGGUGUCUCUAGCCCAGUUAUCUUAGUAUUCUUUCUGCUGUUUUGUAUUUCCGAACUAUAGUCUAUGGUCAAGAUAGAGACUGAUCUUUACUUCGCCUUUUACAGUUUGUUUUUAGCAAAUGCCUUCUAGUUGACUUUUGCUCUUAGCACAAAACAAUUUUUCUACUUAGUUAGGAACAAUUUCUUUCUGGAUUUUUGUUGUUUUGUGUUUGUGGGGUUUUGGGGGGUUGGGGGGAGACUGAUUUUUUUUUUUUUUCUUUUAGUACAUAGGAUUGAACCCUGGACUACUCUAUCACCACAUUAUAUCCCCAGCACUAAUUUCAUUUUAUUUUGUUGUUUGGGUUUUUAAGAGUUAUAACACAUCUCACUUAGUGUUGAAUUUGGCCUUGACUUGUGAACCUGUUAUCUCAGCCUCCUAAGUCCUAAGUAGCUGAGGUUACAGGACCUAGCAAGGCUUGAACCUUGACUUUAAACUCAUUGGUUUUUAGUAUGUAGACAUUGUAUGUCAUAAGAAUGUUAUUUGUUGAGAGCCACAGUUUAGUCAGAAUGAUGCCUGGCAUUUUUGCCAGAGGGAAUGGUUGAAAGAUGACCCUGCCCCGGAUUAGGGCAGAUCCUGCUGGGAAUAGGGCAGCUCCAGGAUUAGGGCAGAUCCUCCUGGGAUUAGGGCGGAUCCUGGUGCCUUGGGCACUACUUUGGAGUUCCCAUUGAGUUCUCUUGGGGUUCUCAGAGAAUUGGCGCGCAGAGCAGUGUGUUCCCGGGAAGUGUGUGUAGAGUGCAGGUGAGAGUUCGGGAAUAAAGGUUGCUGUUUGAACCUACAAGGCUGUGUGCCCAGCCAGACUGCGGCAGUUAUUCUUUAAUUGCUUCCAAGUUGUCAUCGUCAAUAUCAGGUUCAUAUAGGGUACUCAAAAGAUUAUGAAAACAUUGACAAUAAGACUAAGACUAUACCCAACACUUUUUAAUUUAAACUUGAUUGUUUUGAUGUUAAGUUCUAUAUUUUAUUUUUAUUUAUUUAUUUUUUUGGUACUGAGAAUUGAACCCAGGGCCACUUUACCACUGAACUACAUUCCAUAGUCCUUUUUAAUUUUUUAUUUUCAAAUAGUCUUGAUAAGUUGUAUAGGGUCUUGCUAAGUUGCCUAGGGGUGCCUUGCCUCGACCUUGGGUUCCUCUUACCUCAUUCUCCCAUGGAGCUAGCAUUAUAGGUGUGUGCCACCACAUCCAGAUUCUGUUUUCUUUUUUGUAGGAUAUAAGUAAUGUAUUUAGUUGGUUGGUUGGCUCAAAUCAAGUUGUAUUUAAAAGUUGCAUUUUAAUCAUUUUCAUUUAACAUCUUUUUUUCUCAUGUAAUUGUUUUUCAAUUUUACAUUAUAUGUGGUUUAUGUAUUAAUACUUCUUAGAUAUUGCUUUUUAUUGAAUGUGCAGAUUCUUUACUUUUUUGAAGUGAAGGACUGUUGUAAGUAAAUCUAACAAGGUAUGCUGGUGCAACUCUGUAAUCCCAGUGACUUGGGAAACUCUGCAGCAGAAGGAUUACAAAUUCUAGUCCAGCCUCUGAAACUAAGUGAGACCCUAUCUCAAAAUAAUGUGAAAAAAGGGCUUACCUAAUACCCAAAAAGGUCCUGUGUUCAAUUCCUAGUAUUUCCAAAAAAAGGUUAAUAAUUAGUAAAUCUGUUUUUCUCCCUGAGUUCAGGAUAUUUCAUACACACACACACACACACACACACACAUAAUUUUAAUAGUUUUAUUUACUUUUGGGGGCGAGUACUAGGGAUUGAACCCAGGCACUCUAGUAACUGAGCUAUAUUCCCAGCCCCUCAUUUAUUUAUCUUUAUGUCAGCUGAGGAUCAAACCCAGUGCCUCACACAUGCUAGGCAGGCCCUGUACCACUGAGCCAUGAUCCCAGCCCCCCAGGAUAUUUCUUUAGGUAAAUUCCCAGAAAUUAGAAUUACUGGGUCAAGGGUUAGGGGGAUACAUCAGUGGCAGACCACCUGCCUAGCAUGUGCAAGGUUUUGGGUUCAACCUCUAGUACCAUUAAAAAAAAAAGAAAAGAAGAAAAAAGGAACAGUAAAAGGACUUUGAAUCAUCUUAAAAUGUUUUGAAUUAUUUUCCAAAAUAUUCUAUACAUAUCACCUGUGUGGUUUUUUUUUUUUUUUGGAUACCCAGAAUUGCACUCAGGAGUACCUAGCCACUGAGCCAUAUCCCCAGUCUUUUUUUUACCGUUUUAUUUAUUUUUUAUUUUUUGGUACUGGGUAUUGAACUCAGGGGGCACUUAACCACUGAUCCACAUGUCCAGCCCUAUUUUGUAUUUUAGUUAGAGAAAGGGUUGCACUGAGUUUGCCUAGCGCCUCAGUUUUUCAGAGACUGGCUUUGAACUCACGAUCCUCCUGCCUCAGGCUCUGGAAUUAAAGGUGUGCACCAUGUUGCCAGGCACCUUUUUAUUUAUUUUGAGACUAAGUUGCUCAGGGCCUUGCUAAAUUGCUAAGUUGGUCAGGGCCUUGCUAAAUUGUUUACUAAGGCUGUCCUUGAACUUGAGAUCCUCUUGCCUCAGCCUCCCAAGAGGAUUAUAGGCAUGCACCAGCACGUCUGUCUUUUUUCAUAAAAUUUUUUUUUUUUAAAUCAGGUAAAAGUAUAUAGUUUGUUUACAUCUCAUUUUCUUUUUCUAUGUUUUUAUGUUGCAUACAUUUAGGUAAAUGAUCUCCGAAAAGAAUUAGAAAGUCGAGCCCUUAGUUCCAAAGGAUUAAAAUCCCAGUUAAUAGCUCGAUUGACAAAACAACUUAAAGUAGAAGAACAAAAAGAAGAACAGAAGGAAUUAGAGAAAUCUGAAAAAGAAGAGGAAGAAGAGGAUGAUAGGAAAUCUGAAGAUGAUAAGGAGGUAUUUAUUCAGCAUUUGAAUAUAGUUGUAUUGGUAUUUCUCUUAGUAUGUUGGGUGUUCGUGGAAUAUAUGACUUCACUUUGUGUGUGUGUGUGUGUAUUGUUUUAUUAAGGUAUGUAAGGUAAAAGUAGAAUUUUUUCCCACAGUUGCUUUACCACUGAGCUAAAUCCCACAAUUCUUUUUAUUUUUAUUUUAUUUUAUUUUUUUAAGUUUCAUUUAAAAUUUUUUUUUUUUUAAGUUAUCUAUGGACUUAAUGCCUUUAUUUGUUUUUAUGUGGUGCUAGGAUCAAACCCAGCGCCUCACACUUGGGAAGCAAUGCUCUACCACUAAGCUUACAACUCCAGCCCCCCUUUUUAUUUUUUGAGACCGGGUUUUUUCACUAAUGAGCUGAAGGUGUCCCUAAGUUGUUGAGGCUGACCUCGAACUUGUACUCCUGCCUCAGGCUUCUAUGUAGCUGGGAUUACAGGCAUGUGCCACUGCACCUAUCUAAAAAUUCAUACCUGUAAUGAAUAGUUCUGCAAUUUUUUAAAAUUAUUCUAAUUAGUUAUACAUGACAGUAGAAUGCAUUUUUUUAAAAAAUAUUUUUUAGUUAUAGUUGGGCAUAGUACCUUUAAUUUUUAUUUGUUUAUUUUUAUGUGAUGCUGAGGAUCGAACCUAGCUCCUCGCAUGUGCUAGGCGAUCGCUCUACCGCUGAGCCACAACCACAGCCCCUAGAAUGCAUUUUGACAUAUGAUACAUAUAUGGAGUAUAACUUCUCAUUCUUGUUGUACAUGGUAUAGAAUCAUACCAAUCAUUUAAUCAUAUGUACAUUCGGUAAUAAUGUCCGAUUCAUUGAACUAUCCUUCCUACUUCUAUACCCUGUCUCCUCUCUUCACUCCCCUCUGCCUAUCCAAAGCUGUUCUUCCCUAACCCCCUGCCCUCAUUGUGAAUUAGUAUCCACUUAUCAGGAAAAAACAAAAACAAAAACAAAAACAUUCAGCUUGAGUUCCAAUGAAAUGCUCAUGCCCUAAUUGUGAUGCUUCUAAAGUAAUAUGUUUGAUUGGAUUCUACUCAAGAAUAGACAAAUUAUUCAAGCUAUUUUGUACCUCAGUUUUAUAUCUAAUACAUUUAUUCCUUAGUGCAUAAGCUUAUUGUGUUCUCUGAAUUUGAGAGCUAGUGUGUUUUAGCCCCAGUAAUUGGAUAAACCCUUAGGGUUUUUAAAUGUGAUGUAUUAUAAAAUACCCAUCCACAAUUCCUAAAGUAGUUCUUCGAGAAGUAUGUGACAUAGAUCAAAUUGUAAGGAAAACAAUUGGGUAAAUCUGAAAAGUGAAAAAAAUUUUAUAAAGCAAGUUGUGUGAACUUUUCAGAAUGUAUCCACAUUAAAGAAAGAAACUUAGGAGCUGUCUUAGAUUGAAGAAGGUUAGUGAAUGUGACUGGAUCUGGGCUAGGGAAAAAAUGUCAUUAAGAAUGGUAUAUGGGCUGGGGAUGUGGCUCAAUCGGUAGUAGCGCUCUCGCCUGGCAUGCGUGCAGCCCAGGUUCGAUCCUCAGCACCAUAUACAAACAAAGAUGUUGUGUCUGCCGAAAACUAAAAAAUAAAUAUUAAAAUUCUCUCUCUCUCUCUCAAAAAAAAAAAAAAGACUGGUAUAAUUGGAGCCAGGUGUGAUGGCACAUACCUGUAAUCCCAAUGGCUCAGGAGGCUAAGGCAGGAAUCAGAGUUCAAAGCCAGCCUCAGCAAAAAGUGAGGCGCUAAGCAGCUCAGUGAGAUCCCGUCUCUAAAUAAAAUACAAAAUAGGGCUGGAGAUGUGGCUCAGUGGUUGAGUGUCCCUGAGUUCAAUUCCCAGUACUGGGGGGAAAAAAAAGAACAGUAUAAUUGGAGAAAUUUGAUUGUAUAUGUAGUUGUUACAUUAGAUAUUAUUGAAGUUUUAUUAAAUUUUGUGGAUGUGAUAAUGGUUUUGUGAUUAUGUAGGAGAAUUACCUUUUUUUAGACAAUACAUGAACUUGUGAUUUCUUAUCAAUUGGCAGGUAAAGUACUUAUUUUGGUGAUAACAUUUUUUCAGAAUUGACCAGUGGGAACCCUUUUAAGUUAUAUGUCCUUUUGAUAUAUCCUCAUCAUUUUUUGAAGGAUUUCUUACUUUUUGGCCUGAUAGGAUGUUUCAGUCUUAUUGUGUACAUUUCUCACUUUUGGUCUUCAGUCUCUUAUGGUCAGGAACCCAAAGAACCUGGUGUGGUGGUACACACCUGUAAUCCUAUUUACUAGGGAGGCUAAGGCAGGAGAAUUAUAAAUUCAAGGUCAGCCUGUAUAACUUAGUGAGACUGUUUCAAAAUGAAAAAAAUAAUGGGCUAGGAAUAUUGGGUAGUAGAAUGCCCCUGGGUUCAAUCCCCAGUACAGCAAAAAAAAAAAAAAAAAAAAAAAGAUAUCCAAAAGAAAGAAUUCGGACCCACAAAAGCUACUACCCUUAGUAAAUUUGAACUGUUCUCUUUUUUUCAAUCCUUAUAGUUGUUUUGGUCACUCUAAAGAAUUUUAGGUAUUUUGCCGUUUUUCUUUAUAUGGUAUACAUUUUUUGAAUACAUACAUAUUGUACAUGAAGGUUUAAACCAUGAACUAAAAUUUCAAAAUCCAGGAGGAAGAAAGAAAACGUCAAGAGGAAAUGGAACGCCAGCGUCGGGAAAGAAGAUACAUUUUGCCUGAUGAACCAGCCAUCAUUGUGCAUCCAAAUUGGGCUGCAAAAAGUGGCAAGUUUGAUUGUAGCAUCAUGUCUUUGAGUGUCCUUUUGGACUACAGAUUAGAAGAUAAUAAAGAACAUUCAUUUGAGGUAAUGUUUUAUCUUUGAAUCAGGAUCCAGAUAAGGUCCACAUAUUGUGUGUCUCUUAAAUCUCUUUUUCUCCCAGUUGCUAAUUAGGAAAAUCAAUAGUUUAUUCUAUAAAGUUUCAUAUAAAUUACUUUUGUUGAUUUUUUUAAUCCUAUGGUAUAGUAAUACCACUGAAAUAUGCUUGUGUCCUCUGUAUUUUCUAUAAAUUGAUAGUUAGAUCUAAAUUCUUAAUCAAGUUGUGGGCUUUUUUUUUUUUCUUUUAAAAAAGAAAUUUGAACUUUUUGAAGAAUCUGUUGAAAUCCUGAAUAGCUUUAGAACUAUUUAGAUAAGCCCAUGCAUGGUGGUACAUACCUGUAAUCCCAGUAACUCAAGAGGAUUGUAAAUUCAAUGCCAACUUGGGUAAUUUAGCCCUGUCUCAGAAAGAUUAAAAAGGAGAGGACAUGUUGCUCAGUUGCAGAACAGCCCUGGGGUUUGGUCUCCAGUGCUAUAAAUAUUAAAUAAAUAAGUAUAUUUUAGUGUAUAAGUUGAUGAAUAUGUGGUAGCUCUUACCAUGGCUCUCUGCAUAAUAAUAAUAAUGGAUAUUCCAUACUCAGGGUUUUUAAUUGUUUUAAAUGCCUGAAAUGUUCUUCUAGAUAUCUUCAUAAUUCAUUUAUUCAUUGCCUUCUAGUCACUUUUUUGUCGGGUGGAGGGUACUGAAGGUUGAACCCAGGGGUGCUUAACCCACUGAGACACUUCCCCAACCCCUUUUGAAUUUUAUUAGAGACGGGAUCUUGCUGAGUUGCUGAGGCUGGCAUUGAAUUUGCAAUCCUCCUACCACAGCCUCCUAAACUAAUGGGAUUACAGGCCUGUGCCACCAUGCCCAGCUCUCUGGUCACUUUUUAAAUGUCAGAAAGAGACCUUGUCUAACUACUCUUUCUCACUUUCUUUUUAUAAAAUACAUGCUAGGCAAGUGCUUUACCACUGAGUUGCAUCCCAGUCCCUUUAUAUGCUUGUUUUUCUUGUAAUUUGAUAUUAAUUGGGUUAUUUCUUAUACUAGGUUUGUUACCUUUGUGCUGAAAUAAAAUUUUUUUUUUUCUUUUCACUGCUGUAUUCCCAGCCCAUGGUACAUAGUAGGCAUUUGAUUAAAAACUUAUUGACUGGGUCUGUAGUCAUAGCUUAGUAGCAGAGAGCUUACCUAGCAUGUGUGAGGCACUGGGUUUAAUCCUCAGCACUACAUAAAAAUAAAUAAAUUAGCUAAAGGUAUUGUGUCCAUCUACAACUAAAAAAUAUUAAAAAAAAAAAAGUAUUGACCAACCAAUGGAAAUAUAAACAAACCCUUAUAGAAUAAAUAAAGUAUUGUGAAGAUUAAUAGUUUCGUUAGGAGUAUAGAAUUCUUUUUUUCUUUUCAGAUUUUCUAUAGUAGAUUACUUAUUAUAGUAUUUGACUAAAACUGUACUAACCUAAUAUUUUAUAUCUUUGAAACAUUGUUUCAGCAUUUUGAGUCUUUGACAUCAAUUAUUAUAACUAUAUUCUAAAUGUACUUAAUAGAUUCAGCAAAUAUUUAUUAAAAUUACUAACUGCUAGAUUUAAUAUUUCUGUUGCAUUUGUGUUAAUUUUCAUAUCUUUUUAUAGGUUUCAUUGUUUGCAGAACUUUUCAAUGAAAUGCUUCAGAGAGAUUUUGGUGUCAGAAUAUACAAAUCAUUACUCUCUCUUCCUGAGAAAGAGGACAAAAAAGAAAAGGAUAAGAAAAGCAAAAAAGAUGAGAGAAAAGAUAAAAAAGAAGAAAGAGAUGACGAAAAUGAUGAGCCAAAACCCAAACGGAGAAAAUCAGGAGAUGAUAAAGAUAAAAAAGAAGAUAGAGAUGAAAGGAAGGUCUGUAAUUAUUUCCAUAAUUUCUUCUUUUAGAUUGUAACAAAUGAUGUUAUUUCCAUCAGAAUAUUAAAAUAUGAAGCCAAACUUAUACUUUAGAAAAUUUGUCUUUUAAUUAAGCCAAUUCCCCAAACUGCUGAGGGCCUUAAUAAGUUGCUAAAUUGGUCUCCAAUUUGAGAUUCUCCUUCCUCAGCCUCCUGAGUUGCUGGGACUAUAGGCAUGAGCCACCACUCCCAGCUAUUGUUACUCUUAAAUGUAUUACUUUAUGGAUGCUGUGGUUAUGGCUCAGUAGUAGAAUGCUUGCCUGGCAUGUGUGAGGCACCACAUAAAAAUAAUUAAUUAAAUAGAGAUAUGAUGUCCAUUAUACAACUAAAAUAAAAAAGCAUUCCUUUUUUAAGAAAUUUGUAGUUUGAAACUAUUUUAAGUAAAUACCUUUUUUUGGUGAUGCUGGGAUUAAAACCCAGCGCGUUGCACACAUGCUAGGCAAAUGCCCUACCUCAGCUACAUCCCCAGUCCUUUAAAUAAAUAAAUGUAAUGGACUUAAUGUUUUCUUAUUAAAUUUUAAAUUACAGAAAGAAGAUAAAAGGAAAGAUGAUUCUAAAGAUGAUGAUGAAACUGAAGAAGAUAAUAAUCAUGAUGAAUAUGACCCAAUGGAAGCAGAAGAAGCUGAGGAUGAAGAAGAUGGUAUGAUUCAAAUUUUCUUAUUACUGAUUAUGUUUGAAAAAACAUUUGUUUGCUGACUUUGUAUCAGUGAAAUCUAUGAUUUUAAUAUUUUUUAUUAGAAAGUUAAAAUAUUCUCUAAUGAAAAUAUAUUAAGUAAUUGUUGUUUACUAAUUUUUAGGUGAGAAGGCUAUAUUUUGGUGCUUUUGGUUUUUUAUUUUUUAUACUACUGGUAAUUGAACCCAAGGUCUACAAAAGCUCCACAAGUGCUCUAACCAUUGAACUGACAGGGUCUUGCUAAUUUUCACAGACUGGACUUGAACUUGAAAUCCUCCUGCCUCAGCCUCCCAAGUAGCUGGGAUUACAGGUGUACACAUAUGCCCAGCCAGAAUAUAUUCUUCGAAAAAUAAUUUGGUUUAUUUUUAUUUUUUAAGUGAAUACUAUCAUCAUGCAAUGAGUAUAUAUUUAUGGUUUAAAUACUAUUAAUAAUAAUUACCCAUGGUACCUAUUAACCUAUGUCUUAAAAACCAUGUAGGGGCGGGCUAAGGUUGUGGUAGAGCACCUGCAAGAAAGGGUCUUGCGGAGUUGCUUAGGGUCUUUCUAAGUCGCUGAGGCUGGGUUUUCAAUACACCUGCCUCAGCUUUUCAAGUUGCCGGGAUUACAGGCAUGUGCCACCAUGUCUGGCUGACACUCUAAAUACUUUCUAGUUGGGCUGGGGGUGUGGCUCAAGCGGUAGCGCGCUCGCCUGGCAUGCGUGCGGCCCGGGUUCGAUCCUCAGCACCACAUACAAACAAAGAUGUUGUGUCCGCCGAGAAUUAAAAUAAAUAAAUAAAUAUUUUAAAUAAAUAAAUAAAUAAAUACUUUCUAGUAAACAUUCUGAUCAGUAAUAGAUGUUGGCCAUAAAGUAUCUCUGUGUAAUGCCUUACCCAUAUCUCUUUAUGUUGAUGUGACUUGAGAAUUUUGUCUUUUUCUCAUAUCAGAAAACUAAAAACUUUUUUUUUUUAUUAACUGUAUCUAUGGAUGAUACUUCUUAUUAUUAAAGGUUAUUUUGGUUUGCAGCUUUUGGGUUUUUUGGUAGUGGGGAUUUAACCCAGGGGCGCUUUACCACUGGGCUACAUCCUCAGUCCUUUAUUAUAUAUAUGUAUUUUUUAUUAUGAGACAAAGUCUCAAAGUUCCUGAGGACCUUACUGAGUUGCCAGGGCUCACUGUGAACUUGAUAUCCUCCUAUCUCCACCUCCCCAGUUGCUGGGAUUGUGGGCAUGUGCCACCCUGACUGGAUCAUCACAUUUUCUUCUCAUGUCAUUUCAUUUUUCUUAUUGAUGAAAAUAUUCACAUAAAAUGUUGAGGGGGCUGGGAAUAUAGUUCAGUUGGUAGAGUGCUUGCCUCACAUGCACAAGGCUCUGGGUUCAAUCCCCAGCACCAAAAAAAUAAAUAAAAUGUUGAGAGAAUUGUACAGUGAACACCCAUAUGUCUUCCAAUUAGGAUUUAAUAUUCAUUAAUAUUUGACUUAUUUGUUUUGUCUUUUUUCUGAUCCAUUUGAAAGUAUGAAUUCUUCAACUUACUUGGGAGGCUGUGGAAGGAGGAUCACAAGUUUGAGGCUAGCAUUAGCAAGUUAGUCCCUAAAACUUAAUGAAACCUUUUCGCAAAAUAAAAAACAUAAAGGAGAUGUAGCUCCAUUGUAAUGUGCUCCUGGGUUCAGUUCCCAGUACCAAGAAAAAAAAAAGCUUAGGAAAGAAAGGACAUACUUAAUCCCACAAUCAUACCUUUAUUAUGCAAUAAUGCCUUAAUAACACUUAAUACCUGUUUUUUCUUUGCCCUAAUAAUAGCAAUGAGAUGAUACACAUACACCAAUUUUGCUUCAUAUCUCUUCUGUUGUUACAUGGCGCAGUGCAAACUUAGCCCUAUUACAGCCAUAUUUCCUCCCCAUAUUGUUUUUUUUUUUUUUUUUAAAGAGAGAGAGAGAGGGAGAGAGAGAGAAUUUUUUUAGUAUUUAUUCUUUAGAUUUCGGCGGACACAACAUCUUUGUUUGUAUGUGAUGCUGAGGAUCGAACCUGGGCCGCACGCAUGCCAAGCGAGCGCGCUACCGCUUGAGCCACAUCCCCAGCCCCCAUAUUGUUUUUUGUUGUUGUUGUUUGUUUGUUUAUUUUGGGGGGGCAGGGGUUACUAGGGAUUGAACUCAAGGGCACUGGACCACUAAGCCACAUCCCCAGCCCUAUUUUAUAUUUUAUUUAGAGACAGGGUUGCUAAACACGUUGCUUUUGCUGAGACUGGUUUUGAACUAACCAUCUUCCUGUCUCAGCCUCCCAAGCACUGGGAUGUAGGUGUGUGCUACCUCACUCAGCUCCAAGUCCAGUGUUUUUUUUGUUGUUGUUUUGUUUUUUUAAGGUACUGGGGAUUGAACUCGGGGCCACUCAACCACUGAGCCACAUCCCCAGCCUUAUUUUCUAUUUUAUUUAGAAACAGGGUCUCAGUGAGUUGCUUAUUGCUUCACAGUUGCUGAGGCUGGCUUUGAACUUGCGAUUCUCCUAUCUCAGCCUCCCAUGCCACUGGGAUUACAGGUGUGUGCCAUUACGUCUGGCUACAAGUCCAAUUUUUAUCAUACCAAUUUUUAUAAAAUACAUAUUAGUUUCAGAAAAAUUAGAUUUAAUUAAGAGUUAGUCAUAUUUUUUUCUUUUUUUUUUUAAUUGUUAAAUUUUUCCCCCUUACAAUAGCCUCUAAAUUUGUAGGUCCACCCCAUACUGGUCCUAAAAGAUCUCUUGGAUUCUGUAAUGCCUCCUCUAAACACAGCUGUCUGCCUGAGCAGAUUUUUUUUUUUCAAAGCUCUGUUGUCCUCUGGUGGAUGAUUGACGAAUUGCAUUGUCCACUCUUCCACUUUUGGAGAUUUAGUUUCAUCUGAAGCCUGCAAUACCCUUUCACCGUUCCUAUGUUUAAAACUUUUUGUAAAUCCAAUUUGAGGGUCCCACUUAACGCUUUGAGAGUCUAUCUACUGCUGAAGAUUUUGUCCAGUUCAUGAUUUCAAACUGACUCCACCCCAUCUCCUUGUGGACAAAUUUGAUCUCGUUCUCUGGAGUCAUUAACUUGAAAUUGAAUGCUGUAGUAAAUUCUGCUGCAACCAAUGUCCAGCCUUCAACAGUGCAACACUUAUUAAAGGAAGUCUCAUAAUUCUCGUUGUUUUGUGUAAACAUAGAUAACGCCACUCCAUCCUCUGGAGUUCCUAGUGCUUUUACAGCACUCAGAUUGGAUCCUGAAGAGAAGGUAUUUUUUGGGGAUGUGGCUCAAGGGGUAGCGUGCUCGCCUGGCAUGUGUGCGGCCCAGGUUCGAUCCUCAGCACCACAUACAAACAGAGAAGGUAUUUUUUGUCCCACAGAUAAUGAGGCUUUUCCCUUCCAUCCAGUUUUCCAACUCACUUGCAAAUAUUGUAGCAUCAUAAAUCUCAAAAGGCAUUAAUUUCAGUGGUAUUGUUCAGAGUAACAAUGCCAAGUCCAUUUUCUUCCUUUUGCAGAUCCAACAUAUCUACCAGGAAACCACUAAAGCAUCACUUCUUCAUGAAAGCCAUGAGAUGUAAUAAAGUGAUACUGCCCCUCAGUGUAGUAGUUUUGUCCUUACAGAGAUGAUGGCUUCAAAAGACUUAUUAUUUUUAAGUUGGAACAAGGCUUUAAAGGUUUUCAGAAAUCAAAUAAGUGCUUUGAAGUUAGGCCUUUUUAUACUUUAAAAAAAUGUUAAAUGUGGUAUUUCUCCACCUUCCCUGAAAAGUUUUUCAGCACCCUCCUGUACCUCUGUAUAAACCACUCCUUUCCCAUUCCCAGGAGGGUACAUUGGGCUUCAGCUGCCAUCUAGCUGGGAAGCCUGGAGGCUCUCUGUGUGAGGGUCACUGGGAAAGGUGCUAACAUCCAUUCCACAACCACCUUCUGGGAUUCUCUUCCUUAUGACGCUUUUAAAAGUUAUGACCAGCUCUUAAAUAGAGCCCUGGAGGUCUCUGGGGUGACUUCCCUUUCUGCUUUCCUCGAUCAUCUUAAUUAAAAACAUCUCAGUUUCUCAUGUAGUUUUUCCUUUUGGGUUCUAGAAAAUAUACUUCACCUUGUUUGCUCAAGUUUGUGUUAUGUUUUUCAAUUUUAUCUAUAGAGUUAAUUUUAUCUUUUGAAAUAUAUCCUUCAGAUAUUUGUAAAAUUAAGGCCAUUUAAUUGAUUUAAUAAAGUCAGUUUGGUGCUGAUAGUGACAAGAAUGCUUGCCUGUCAUAUGCAAGGCCCUCAGCAUUGCAAAAAGAAAUAAUGAAAUCAAUUUGUCCCUCUAGUUUUUCUCCCAUCCCCAGUAGUGGGGAUUGAAUUCAGGGGUCUCUACAAGUAAACUACAUCCUCAGCCCUUUUUCUUGUUUGGAGAAAGGGUCUCACUAAAUCAUCUAUGCUACCCUCAACUUUAUAAUCCUCUUGUCUCAGUUUUCCAAGUGAGAUUACAUUCAUGUACCAUUGUGCCUGAUCACCCGAUAUAUUCUUCCUCUUAUUUUUUGUAAUUUUUUUUUCACAUCUACACUAUUUUUAUUUAUAUAUUUAUUUGAUUAAUUUGAAAAUUUGUUCUGUAGUGGAGGAAUAGUAUUUUUUUUGUUUGUUUGUUUGUUUUCUGUGGUGCUGGGGAUUGAACCCAGGGCCUUGUACAUGCAAGGCAAGCACUUUACCAACUGAGCUAUAUCCCCAGCCCAUGGAGAAAUAGUUUGUUUCUACAGUAGUUAAAAAUAUCUCUGUUAAUGAGUUUUUGCUGCUCUUACAUUUAUUUUUAUAGAUCGGGAUGAGGAAGAAAUGAACAAACGGGAUGACAAAAGAGAGAUCAACAGAUACUGCAAGGAAAGGCCUUCUAAAGAUAAGGUAUUUAUUGAAUAUUGUAUUCUUUAUAAUGUGAUGAUUUGUAUAUUUUACAUAAUUAAAUUUGAUUUUAAAAUAUAUCACAGUCAUGAAGUUUAUUAGUCUUCAUAUGCCUACAUACAACCACUUAGCAAAAUGCAGUUGAUGGGUUUUUGGUAUUUGGGACUGUCAUAUAACCAUUUUGUUUGAUUUUCUUUCUCUCAUAUUCAUAUAACAAAUGAACUUAUUUUAUUAGGAUGAAAUAAUGAUCUUUUAAGAUUGUUGCUAUUAUACUGACAUAAUUUCUUGUUUUUCAAUUGGAAAAAAGUAUAUACUAUCUUUUAUUUCUGUAUUUUUUUUAGGAAAAAGAAAAAACUCAGAUGAUCACAAUUAACAGGGAUCUAUUAAUGGCCUUUGUUUAUUUUGAUCAAAGCCAUUGUGGUUACCUUCUUGAAAAGGAUUUGGAAGAGAUACUCUAUACUCUUGGAUUACAUCUUUCUCGGGCUCAGGUAAUCUAUUCUGUGAAUUUAAAAUAAAAACCGUUUUUAUUACCAUUUUUUUUUUCUCCCUGUGCUGGGGAUAGAACCCAGGACUUGCUAAUGCAAGUGCUUUAGCACUGAAACUGCCUCUCCUGUAACUUUUCAAGAAGUUACUUUUUUUUGGUACCAGGGAUUGAACCCAGGGGUGCUUAACCAGUAAGUCACACCCCCAGCCUCCAGCCCUUUUUAUUUUUAUAUUGAGAUAGGGUCUCACUAAGUUGUUUAAGGCCUCACUAAGUUGCUGAGGUUGGCACUAAAUGGCCUCAGCCUCUUCAGUGAAUGGGAUUACAGGUGUGUAUCACCACGUUUGGCUAAGAAGUUACUUUUCAAAGAAAAUAUAAAUAGAAUAAGUUAAUGUAUUCAAUUCCAUAGGUAGGUGCUCAUUUUUUUUUACAUCUCUAUUGACUUUUUCAUUUAAAAGAAACAUAAUAGAUAUAAAUUGUAAGAGUCAAGCAAUACUGAAAUUUAUAAAGUAAAAAGGUUAAAAGCCCCUCUUUGCUCUUCUACUCCUCAGGUCCAGCACAUAACCUUCUAGAUUUUUUUGUAAUCAACUGUUUCAUUUUUAUAAACAUAAUAUGAAAUUAUGUUAUACAUAUUGAUGGAACUCUUUUAAAAUUUUCUAAUAUAUCCUGGACAUUUGUACCAUGAAAAUUCAGAUCUCAUUCUCAUAGCUGCAUAGUAUUCCAUUAUAUAGAUGUAUCAUUUAUGUAACUACUCCCUUAUUGCUUAUGGUUUUCAUAUUUUGGAAUUAUAAACUUAUGCUGUAAUAGACACCCCUUGUUACAUUUAUUUUAAUAUAUAUGUUAGUGUUUCUAAUAGUGUUACAAUUUUUUUUUUAAAUACUACGUUUUUUUAAAAGAAUAUUUUUAAAAUUUUUUGUUCAAUUUAAAACAUAUUUAUAUUUAUGUAUUUGACUUUGGGAGGAAAAAUUAAGUAGGGUUCACAAAAUUUUGAAGUAAAUUUGGAGAUUUUAGCAAGUGAUAAAAUAUCUACAAAAGUGUCCUGUGUCACAGUAUAUAUCUAAUAGCUCCAUAAAACAAAAACUUACAUUUCAGGCCAGGAAUUUUUAGGUUUCACCUCUUGCCAAUGUUUUUUCCCCCUCUAACUGGUGUAGUGUUACAAUUUUUAACAAUUAAAUUUAUUUUUCAAAUAUAACUUGGAUGUGAUUGAGUAGGAAUGGAUACCUGAGAAAGCAGUUUCCACAGAUGUUCUUCAUUUCUAAAAAUUAGAACACAGUUGUUCAAGGAAAAUCAAAACACAUUUUCAUCUUUUUAAUGUGUUUACUUGCUUAUAUUAUAGGUAAAGAAGCUUCUUAAUAAAGUAGUUCUCCGUGAAUCUUGCUUUUAUCGGAAAUUAACAGACACUUCAAAAGAUGAAGAAAACCAUGAAGAGUCUGAAUCAUUGCAGGAAGAUAUGUUAGGUUUGAGUAUAUUGAAAUCUUGCGUUUUUAUAAAUAUUCAUUAGUUUAAAAAAAAAAAUCUUACUAAAGUGUAUUGUCUUUUAUUAUAGGAAAUAGGUUGUUACUGCCAACACCAACAGUAAAGCAGGAAUCAAAGGAUGUGGAAGAAAAUGUAGGACUCAUUGUGUACAAUGGUGCAAUGGUUGAUGUAGGAAGCCUUUUGCAAAAAUUGGAAAAGAGUGAAAAAGUAAGGGCUGAAGUAGAACAGAAGCUGCAGUUACUAGAAGAAAAAACAGGUGAGGGACAAUAUGAAUAUGUUAGUACUUUUAAAGCUCUGUUUGUGUGUGUGUGCACGCACACACAUACCUCACAUUUUGCUUUGGACAGUGUAUAACUCUACUUUCAUCUGUUUCUAUUGGAGACAAUAAAAUCACUUAGUUUUGUAAGAAUUUUUCUUGUUCAAUGGGGUGUAGUGGGGCAUGCCUAUAACUAGAGAGGCCACUGUAGGAGGAUCACAAAUUUGAAGGCAGCUUAACAAGACCCUGUCUCAAAAGUAAAAAGGGCUGGGGAGGUAUCUUGGUGGAUAUUAGUUGUUCAUUCUCAGGUUCACUUGAUAUUCUGUUCUAUCCUUUCAGACCUCUGCUAGUUCCACUUACUUUUUAUUGGUUCCUAUUUUUGCUAGUUUGUUGCAGUCAUCUAAAAAUUGAAACUGGGUUUAGAAAUACUAGUAACUAAAACUUAAUUUCAAUAAAAACAGUAUUGCAUUGUGCUUUAGGUAACUAAUGAAGUUGGUAUUUAUGGGCAUUUUAAAGAAUUGCAUCUGCUUUUUAUUUUCAUAGCUUAAGUAUUUUUAACCUCAAGCUAUACUGGAAAUUAUAGGGGUUCAAGAGGUUUGUUUUGGACUUUUUUUUUUUAAUAGAUGAAGAUGAAAAAACCAUAUUAAAUUUGGAGAAUUCCAACAAAAGCCUCUCUGGUGAACUCAAAGAAGUUAAAAAGGACCUUAGUCAAUUACAGGAAAACUUAAAGGUUUCAGAAAACAUGAAUUUGCAAUUUGAAAACCAACUGAAUAAGACAAUCAGAAACUUGUCUACAGUAAUGGAUGAAAUCCACACUGUUCUCAGAAAGGUUUGAAAUUUUAUACUUUCAACAUUUUCAGAGUUUAUUUAAAUUUUAAAAACUAUUCAUAGCAUUUUUAAUGUACUUUAAUGUUAUUUUGCUCUUUGUAAAAGCUUUUCCUAGAAGCAAAUGAUAGCAUUCCAUCUUCUUGAAACUAGUCAAAAGUAAUUCCCCAAAGAUUAUAUUUUUCUAAAAUUUAAUGAUGAAUGUCAGUAUGGUUUAUGUGUACAGAUUUUUUUUGAGGUUGACCCCAAAUUUAUUUUUUUAUUCACACAGAUUUCAGAUAUGUUAUUGUAUUUAAUCAUCACAGUAUCCCUAUUAGUUAAGCAUUGUUUUAUUUUUUUUAAAUACACGACAGCAGAAUGCAUUUACAAUUCUUAUUACACAUAUAGAGCACAAUUUUUCAUAUCUUUGUAUAUAAAAUAUGUUCACACCUGUGUGUACAGAUUGUCUGAAGCAAAUGUUGAACUGGAGAUGUGGCUCAGUGAUAGAGUGUAUGCCUAGCAUUAUGUGAGGCCCUGUGAUUAGUCCCUAGCACCACAAAAUUUAUUUGUAUUUCUUUCUAAACCAAAGAGUAUUUUUGAAGUAAGAUAUGAAAUCAUUUGGUUCUUUUAAACCAUUUAUUGUGAGGCAGAAUUUAAGAAAAUUCUUUGGCAUCAGAUAUUAAUCGCUAUAAAAAUUUUAUAAUUGAAUUACAUUAUAAAAUACCUUCAAAUAACAUGUAAGAAAAUCUAAUAAAAUAUACCUUUUCCUUAUCUAUUAUUUUACAGGAUAAUGUAAAGAAUGAAGACAAAGAUCAGAAAUCUAAGGAGAAUGGUGCAAAUGUAUGAUAAAAUUUGUGUCGUGAUGAAAAAUGCUGUUAAAUAAUGUAAUAUAUAAAAAUCAUGAUACAAGAAUGUUUGAAGGUGAUGCAUGUUUUAGUAGUAUAAAUUCUGUUAGUUCAAAUGGUGUAUAAAGUUUUAUGAAUGUUGAGUCUGCUUUUGAAAAUUGCUUGUAAUUUCUAGCAUUCAAAUUAUUAAACACUCCUUGAGUGAAAUAAUUUUGCAUUGCAAAAUGUUUUAGGAUGAACUUUGUUAUAGUUUUAACCCCAAUAAAGUUCAUCAAUUUACUUGACAGUAGUAUUUAAUUACCAAAUGUCUUUUAUUAAAAUGCCUAAAUUUUUUUUUGUUUUUUAUGCAUAAAAGUUUUUUAUUUUAUUUAUAGAAUUAUCAUUAUUUACCUUUUAAUUUUGUAGUCCAUCUUUUAAAACUUCACUAUAAAUCAUAAAAUAGCAAGCUGCUUACUUUUUGGACCAGAAAUAUUUUUACUCUUCACCAAAAAUCCCCUCUAGUUAUCAAUAUCUAAAAACAUUGUUAAAAAUUCAGUUCACCCAAAAGACAGUUCAUUAAGAACUAAGAAAGCAGUAGACAACUGGUGUUGGUAUUUUGUUUGUUAGGCUUUACGUAAAAUUCAUAGACCUGAUGUUAAUGUUAACUGUUAACUGCUUUCAAUUAAUUGUUCUACUUUCCCAGAGUAGCACUUCUAUUACUUUUAAUUAUGAGGGUUUCUUUUUAAAAAAUUCAGUGUAUGUCAAAUGUACAGUUUAGUACCAAACCAAUAGAUGUCAGUAUGAUGCCUUAAGUUAAAUUUUUAAUUAAAAAUAAUUUUUUUUUCUUAGUCUGUGUAUGUACUUAAGAGUUUCAGAGGUGUUUAAGAGUUCAUGUAACUGUUGAGUGAAAAAAAGAAGGAAAUGUGAUGUACUCUGCAACAGUGGUUUUCAACAGGAUGUGAAUUUAUCCUUCAGAGGGCAUUUGGCAAUGUUUGGAGAUCUUUUUAAGCAAUUGGGUGGGGGGCUACUUGCAUCUAUUUGUUAGAGACUAAGAAUGCUGUAUAGGACAGUCCCCCACAAUGAGGAAUUAUUCAGUCCAAAAUGCCAGUAGUGCCCAAUUUGAAAAAUCCUGCACUUAAGGAAUAUAAGGUUAAACAACAUUUUGUCUUUAUAAAAUUAUACUUAGGGAAAACUUAGCUGAAUCUGUAGAUGAUUAUUUUUUUAUACUUACAAAACUCGAAGUGGAAUGUUUUGCUCUCAUAAAAAUAUAUGUUAUAUUAGAGUUUAUUUCAUUUUGUUUUACUCUUUCAUUUUGAUAGAAUAAUGGCCAGAUAUUCUAAAUAGGUGAAUAUGAGACUUAAUAUGUGACUUAAGUCAAAUGGAAUCCAUAUGGCUCUUACUGAGGUAUGGAUUAAAACUCUUCAAAUUCUUCAAACCACUUUUUGUCUUAAAUUGAUAUUUCUUCUCUUCAGGUCUAGUUGAACCUCUCCAAAGUCACUUUACUUCUUGAGCCAUAAUUAUAUCAUUAAUAUGUAAAUGUUUCUUCAUCGUUGAGAUGAGAUGAAACUGUAUAGGUUUUUUAGUUUGUUUUUUGGUACUAUAGGGAUUUAAACCAGGGUCGGAUUUUAUUUUCUUCUUGAGACAGGAUCUUGCUAGGUUUGCCCAGACUAGCCUCAAAACAUGGAAUCCUCCUGCCUCAGCCUCCCAAGUAGCUGGAAUUACAGGUGUGUGCCUCCAUGCCCAAUAAAUUAUAUGGAGUUUUUUAAAGCAAGCACUUUACCUCAGAGUUAUAUCCCCAGCUCUAUUUUAUUUUGAGACAGGGUCUUAAUACGUUUCCCAGGCUAGCCUUGAACUUAUAGUCCUCAUGCCUCUCCCUCCCAAAUUGCUAGGAUUAUGAGUUGAUAUUGUAGCUUGCCUACCCUGUGAGAAACUCUGGGUUCAACCCCUAGUACUGCAAUAAGAAAAAUGUGGUUUACCAAUCGGCUGAGAUUGCCAUAUGCCACUGCAGCUGAUAGGAAACUUUUAACUAAAAGAUAGUAAUGAUAGAUUUCCUGCAAAAGUAUAUUUUUAAAUGAAAGAUCAGGGCUGGGACAUGGCUUAGUGGUAGGUCACUUGGCUAGCUUACAUGAUGCCCUCAUUUAAAUCUCUAAUAAGAGAGAGAUCAUACAAAGGCCAACUAACAGCUUUUAUUUUUGUACAAUAAAUUUUAAAUAAGCAUAAGGUGGAUAUGAUGGAGGAAGAAUCUAAACCUUCCAAUUUUAUUUUUACUUACAGAUAUAAUUUCUUUUUUAAAAUGUAAUUUUUUAAGACACUAGGGAUUUAAUCCAGGAGUGCCCUACCACUGAGCUACAUCCCUAGCGCAUUUGUAUUUUUCUUUUGAGACAGGAUCUCACUAAAAUUUGACCAGACUGCCAAUUAAGUUUCUUGUAAAUGAGUGUCAUCCCCUGGAGUAACAAAGGGGUAGUCCUAGCAGAAGAGGUAAUUUGUGCUUCUCUUUCUCAAUGAAAUUGAUGAUGAACUGUCACAAGGAACAGUAAAUUACUUGGUAGAAAUAAUUCCGACAUCUCUUUUGUUGUUAAAUUAAAAUUUAAUUUCAUGAUUUGGUGCCAGACUGUUUGGAUAAGCAAAGUGUAGGCCAUGAUGUUUUGAAAAUAUUCAGUGAAGCCAUUAAAUAAAAAUUGAAAAUAACCCAAAGAGUUAAUGUUAUGGGAUAUGUAUCUUUCAGAAUAUUUGGAAUACAUUCUAUAAAAAAUUUGGAGAAAUGGAUAAGGGAAAAGAACUUAGUGUAGACUCAGUUAAAUGAUACUUAAAUCGCUUAUUGGAAUUGAAAAUAUCAGGUGGUUUUGGUAAUAAUCUAAUAAAACAUCUGAUUUUGGAUGACUCCAAUUUUUAUAGGUUUUUUCCUUUCUUUUUUGACACUAGUGAUUGAAUCCAAGUGUACGUAAUAUCUGGGCCACAUCCCUAGCUAGACCUUUUUUAGUUUUUAUUUUGAGACUAAGUUGCUGAUAACUAAUCUCAAACUCGCACUCCUUCUGUCUUAGCCUCCUGAGUCACCAGGAUUACAGGUAUGCACCAGCAGUUUUUUGGGUUUAUAGUUUGUUUUUUACAUAAUUGACCUCAACAGUUAAAAUUGUGUUCCAAAAUUGAAUUCCAAAAGUUGUGUCAAAAAUAAACAGAACUUUAU
Molecule: long non-coding RNA, 37648 nt
Filed under: Marmota monax (woodchuck)
Lineage: Eukaryota; Metazoa; Chordata; Mammalia; Rodentia; Sciuridae
Rfam family: Small nucleolar RNA SNORD98 (bases 14246-14310)
Source: RNAcentral